RNAcentral lists this ribosomal RNA (253 nucleotides) under uncultured bacterium. RNAcentral describes it as "partial 16S ribosomal RNA". It matches the Rfam family "Bacterial small subunit ribosomal RNA", at positions 524 to 776 of the family's 1533-position model. The record is from RNAcentral.
UACGUAGGGGGCGAGCGUUGUCCGGAGUUACUGGGCGUAAAGGGCACGCAGGCGGUGCGGCGCGUUUCGCGUGACAGCGGAGGGCUUAACUCUCCGAGGAUGCGAAAGACGGCGGCACUUGAGGGCCAGAGAGGGACACGGAAUUCCGGGUGGAGUGGUGAAAUGCGUAGAGAUCCGGAGGAACACCGAAGGCGAAGGCAGUGUCCUGGCUGGUGACUGACGCUGAGGAGCGAAAGCGUGGGGAGCGAACAGG